GAUGAACGCUGGCGGCGUGCCUAAUACAUGCAAGUCGAGCGAACAGACGAGGAGCUUGCUCCUCUGACGUUAGCGGCGGACGGGUGAGUAACACGUGGAUAACCUACCUAUAAGACUGGGAUAACUUCGGGAAACCGGAGCUAAUACCGGAUAAUAUAUUGAACCGCAUGGUUCAAUAGCGAAAGACGGUUUUGCUGUCACUUAUAGAUGGAUCCGCGCCGCAUUAGCUAGUUGGUAAGGUAACGGCUUACCAAGGCAACGAUGCGUAGCCGACCUGAGAGGGUGAUCGGCCACACUGGAACUGAGACACGGUCCAGACUCCUACGGGAGGCAGCAGUAGGGAAUCUUCCGCAAUGGGCGAAAGCCUGACGGAGCAACGCCGCGUGAGUGAUGAAGGUCUUCGGAUCGUAAAACUCUGUUAUUAGGGAAGAACAAAUGUGUAAGUAACUAUGCACGUCUUGACGGUACCUAAUCACAAAGCCACGGCUAACUACGUG
Molecule: ribosomal RNA, 497 nt
Filed under: uncultured bacterium
Lineage: Bacteria
Description: partial 16S ribosomal RNA
Rfam family: Bacterial small subunit ribosomal RNA
Source: RNAcentral